AGAGUUUGAUCCUGGCUCAGAUUGAACGCUGGCGGUAUGCUUUACACAUGCAAGUCGAACGGAGUUGGAGCUUGCUCCAAUUUAGUGGCGAACGGGUGAGUAAUAUAUCGGAACAUGUCCGGAAGUGGGGGAUAACGUAGCGAAAGUUACGCUAAUACCGCAUAUGCCCUGAGGGGGAAAGGGGGGGAUCGCAAGACCUCUUGCUUUCGGAGUGGCCGAUAUCGGAUUAGCUAGAUGGUGGGGUAAAGGCCUACCAUGGCGACGAUCCGUAGCUGGUCUGAGAGGACGACCAGCCACACUGGAACUGAGACACGGUCCAGACUCCUACGGGAGGCGGCAGUGGGGAAUUUUGGACAAUGGGCGAAAGCCUGAUCCAGCCAUACCGCGUGAGUGAAGAAGGCCUUCGGGUUGUAAAGCUCUUUCAGCCGGAAAGAAAUCGCAUCUUUUAAUACGGGGUGUGGAUGACGGUACCGGAAGAAGAAGCACCGGCUAACUACGUGCCAGCAGCCGCGGUAAUACGUAGGGUGCGAGCGUUAAUCGGAAUUACUGGGCGUAAAGCGUGCGCAGGCGGUUUUUUAAGCCAGAUGUGAAAUCCCCGGGCUUAACCUGGGAACUGCAUUUGGAACUGGAAGACUAGAGUGUAGCAGAGGGGGGUAGAAUUCCACGUGUAGCAGUGAAAUGCGUAGAUAUGUGGAGGAAUACCAAUGGCGAAGGCAGCCCCCUGGGUUAACACUGACGCUCAUGCACGAAAGCGUGGGGAGCAAACAGGAUUAGAUACCCUGGUAGUCCACGCCCUAAAC
This 800-nucleotide ribosomal RNA is filed under the name uncultured bacterium. Its description in RNAcentral is "bacterial SSU rRNA". It matches the Rfam family "Bacterial small subunit ribosomal RNA", at positions 8 to 807 of the family's 1533-position model. The record is from RNAcentral.